This 1357-nucleotide long non-coding RNA is filed under the name Homo sapiens (human). RNAcentral's name for it is "HSALNT0197643". The record is from RNAcentral. Lineage: Eukaryota; Metazoa; Chordata; Mammalia; Primates; Hominidae.
CCGGAAGUCUGUGUCCUAGAAGUUAUCCCCGCACAAGCCACAGGCGCCUGAGCUGUGCGUGGCGGGAGAGGCAGGGCUGGCAGAGCCCGGGAGGGAGGCAGGCACAGAGCCACUGGGAGUGGGGCGGGGACGGAGCCGGGCUGGCAGGACUUGGGGCCAAGGCGGGACAGGCGAGUGUGACAGCCACAGCCAAGGCCAGGGCGGUGUCCCUGCACCCUGUGUGGGUUUGGGGGUGUCUGGCCGGGGCGGGGUGUGUGCGAAGUGGGUGGAGACAGAAAUCAUGCUGGGGAUGUCCACGCGGGAGCGUAGGAGUCAGUGCAGAAAACGCGUCUCCCUGGUGUCGGCAGCUCCGGCCCCCGGGCUGCUGCGGGAGCAAGUAGACCGGCUCCUUAGCGGCUCAGCGCAGCGGACGCCGAGUCCCAGCGGGGGCGUCCUCCUGCAGUGACUCAGGGGCCCUGGCUCUGUCUGUCCUCGGAUGCUCCCUUCCCAACACUUGGCUUCCAAGGUUGGACUGGAGCUGGGACCUGAUUGAACCCCUCGGUCCUCAGUGCCCAAGCGUAGAAGCCGUGGAGCCGCAUGGCCCUGGUGACUGGGCUGCGUGACCCCUCUGUGGCCCCCUCCUGACCUGAGAAAGUGGUGCAAACAUCCACCGCGUCAUCUGGUCGUUAGGAGCACAGAGCCUGACCCACGAUAGACACCACGGGCAUAAUAAAUGCCGCUUUCUGUUUGCUUCAGCAGGAUGUGGACAAAACCUUUAAAUUUGUUUUUAUGCAUUCAAUGCGUCCAGCUGUUACGACUCUGAAGCAAGUGUGAUUUUCAGUCUUUUGUAGUUGUUAUUCAGGGCAGUCCUGUUGUGCUGGGCUUGACUGAAGCGGCCAACACGGUCAUGUGUGUGUCUCCAGGCAGCAACCUGCAGUGAGCCCAAGAUCAUGGUCCAGGGCUCCUCCUCCCGGCAGGGAGGAACUGUCCUCAGCAUCCUCUGAGCCCCAGGUGUGCAGGGGGCAGGGUCAGGUAGAGAGAGGGGAGGAAGUUAGCUGAGGAACAAUGGCUAUUGGUCAGAUUUCCCUACCCCAACCCUGACACAAGCGCCUCGCACAUCAUUGGCUGAGAUCAGUCUCUCCAUUUUCCUAAUCGAUUCUUCAUGCAAAGCCACAUUUUGGAGAAAAGGAAUGGUUAGAAUCAUGGCAGGAUUGCUGAGGCAGUGAAUUGAAGAGGCUGCGUAGUGCUUGCAACCAGUUACCAUAUUUCCCUGGAGGAAUCACCAGCAACCGACUCUCCCAGGACUUACGAGGUGCUUCCCUUAUCACCAGCCGUCUCAGCACAAGUAGGUGAGUUUCUCUUUGAGCUGGUUUUCCAU